AACGAACGCUGGCGGCGCGCCUAAUACAUGCAAGUCGAGCGAGAAGACGUAGCAAUACGUUUGUAAAGCGGCGAACGGGUGAGGAAUACAUGGGUAACCUACCCUAGAGUGGGAAUAACUAGCCGAAAGGUUAGCUAAUACCGCGUACGCUCCUUGGACUUCGGUUCAGGGAGGAAAGCGAUACCGAGGGUAUCGCGCUCUUGGAUGGGCUCAUGUCCUACCAGCUUGUUGGUGAGGUAACGGCUCACCAAGGCUUCGACGGGUAGCUGGUCUGAGAGGACGAUCAGCCACACUGGCACUGCGACACGGGCCAGACUCCUACGGGAGGCAGCAGUAAGGAAUAUUGCGCAAUGGGCGAAAG
Molecule: ribosomal RNA, 361 nt
Filed under: uncultured bacterium
Lineage: Bacteria
Description: bacterial SSU rRNA
Rfam family: Bacterial small subunit ribosomal RNA
Source: RNAcentral